Molecule: long non-coding RNA, 353 nt
Filed under: Mytilus galloprovincialis (Mediterranean mussel)
Lineage: Eukaryota; Metazoa; Mollusca; Bivalvia; Mytilida; Mytilidae
Source: RNAcentral
GUUGUCGUUUGUUUAUGUGUUACAUAUUUGUUUUUCGUUCAUUUUUUGUACAUGAAUAAGGCCGCUAAUUUUCUGGUUUGGAUUGUGUUAGGCAGCAACCAUUUGAUUUUCGGGGGGGGGCUAUGGUUUUUUUUUUCUGUGCAAACUUUUUUUUUCGCCUUCGGCGAAGAACAAUCUAUUUUUUUAGCGACAAACCGAAAACAAUUUUUUUCUUUUAAUUUUAGCAUUACAUAUAGUGGCAGCUGAGGGUGAAACAAACAAUUUUUUUUCUCAGGGUCCAAAACAAAUUAUUUUUUUCACCAAAACCUGGAAACAAACUUUUUUUUCCAAAAAAACCAUAGCCCCCCCCCCCC